GUGCCAGCCGCCGCGGUAAUACAGAGGUGGCAAGCGUUGUUCGGAAUCACUGGGCAUAAAGGGCGCGUAGGCGGCGAUCCAAGUCAGGUGUGAAAGCCCUCAGCUUAACUGGGGAAUUGCGCCUGAUACUAGAUUGCUUGAGUGUAGGAGAGGAGAGUGGAACUCCUAGUGGAGCGGUGAAAUGCGUAGAGAUUAGGAGGAACGCCGGUGGCGAAAGCGACUCUCUGGCCUACUACUGACGCUGAGGCGCGAAAGCUAGGGGAGCAAACGGGAUUAGAAACCCCAGUAGUCC
Molecule: ribosomal RNA, 292 nt
Filed under: uncultured bacterium
Lineage: Bacteria
Description: partial 16S ribosomal RNA
Rfam family: Bacterial small subunit ribosomal RNA
Source: RNAcentral